Molecule: transfer RNA, 89 nt
Filed under: Candidatus Woesearchaeota archaeon
Lineage: Archaea; Nanobdellati; Candidatus Woesearchaeota
Description: tRNA-Arg
Rfam family: tRNA
About the family: Transfer RNA (tRNA) molecules are approximately 80 nucleotides in length. Their secondary structure includes four short double-helical elements and three loops (D, anti-codon, and T loops). Further hydrogen bonds mediate the characteristic L-shaped molecular structure. tRNAs have two regions of fundamental functional importance: the anti-codon, which is responsible for specific mRNA codon recognition, and the 3' end, to which the tRNAs corresponding amino acid is attached (by aminoacyl-tRNA synthetases). tRNAs cope with the degeneracy of the genetic code in two manners: having more than one tRNA (with a specific anti-codon) for a particular amino acid; and 'wobble' base-pairing, i.e. permitting non-standard base-pairing at the 3rd anti-codon position.
Source: RNAcentral
GGACCCGUAGUUUAGCCUGGAAUUACAUGGGUAAAUAGAACGACAGCCUCCUAAGCUGUAGGUCGGGAGUUCAAAUCUUCCCGGGUCCG